RNAcentral lists this ribosomal RNA (141 nucleotides) under uncultured Kineosporia sp. RNAcentral's name for it is "partial 16S ribosomal RNA". It matches the Rfam family "Bacterial small subunit ribosomal RNA", at positions 355 to 507 of the family's 1533-position model. The record is from RNAcentral. Lineage: Bacteria; Bacillati; Actinomycetota; Actinomycetes; Kineosporiales; Kineosporiaceae.
UGGGGAAUAUUGGGCAAUGGAGGAAACUCUGACCCAGCGACGCCGCGUGAGGGAUGAAGGCCUUCGGGUUGUAAACCUCUUUCAGUAGGGAAGAAGCGAAAGUGACGGUACCUACAGAAGAAGCACCGGCUAACUUAUGUG